AUACAACAAAAAUUAAUUCUUCAACAGUCCAUAGUUAAGCACCGCACUUUGAAGUUGGAAUGAAAAGGAUAAAAAUUAAAUACGCCGGCAAAUAAUAGCAAUGCGUGGCGUCGUCUAGCAAUAUUUAGAAAAACAAAAAAAAAGAGUAUUUACACAUCUCAUAGUCAUCGUUAUCGUUUCGCUGUCGGAAAUAUUUGCUUGUUAGCUGAAAGCAUGAGCGACCCCCAAAUCCCCGAAUCCAACCGCAAUCCGAAGCCCUCGCCUAAAAUCCCCAGCAACGGCGGCGGCUCAAACUAUCCCAAUCCCCGGGAGACGGUGAAUCCGGACGUCGCCACGCUCAGAGAUCAAUGGCGCUUCGCUGUAAAACAGUACAGCAAGUGGUACUCUCAGGCCUGGGGAUCCGCUAUUCUCGCCGGCGUCUCGUUUUUCGCCCUCGGUUGGAUCAUCAAGGGCUCCAAUCCACUCCCUUCCUUUCAGUCUGAUACCACUGCCUCUUCCCCACCCGAUAAAGAUAAAUCUGCGCACCAACCUCGCUGAUUGUAAUAGGUGAUUUAUAUCACUGUUUCCAGCUUACAAAACAAAGGCACCGGGGGCGCAUAUGAUCCAUGUUCUUGUUCUACCUUGGGAGAAAGAAACUAGGUCUUUUGAUGAUGCUGAUAACUUACAACUCUCAAAUAAGAUACUUCCUUUACCAUAGAUAGAAUGUGAACUUUGCCACCUUUUUCUGUUUAUAUCUGUAAUUAAAGGAAAAGUUUAAGUUUGAUCCAGAGUGGCAUUUUUGCUGUUUAUCACUUGCCUGCUGAAACUUGUUCGUACAGUCACUGAAGUUUUAUGCCUUUCGCCCCACAGUUCACACAGGCUCCCUUGUCUUUUCUGUAACAAAAAUCCCAUUGCAAGAUUGUAUGGAUCUAUGUAAUACACACCCCAAAUGAAUCGGGAGCAUACAAGAUUAUUCCCUUCCACUUUUAGUAGAAUGGAAGGAGAAGUGUUAGUUGCUUUUGAGUGGCAACCCCGGUAAAACGCAGUUGUCCGACGUUGUGACCUUCUCUUCUCUGAGCUUGAGAACACAGAUAAUGCACGAUCAAAGAUAACAGCUUAUAUGUAAAUUGUUGAACUCAGGGGCUGGUUAAUUCUGCGAGACUAUAAAUUUGUAUACAUAUAACACCAUUGGAUGCAGGGUCAAAGCUUGCAGAGGACAAGCCACCACCUAACUAUGCUACAGGUUUCUUUCUUGAUCUGUAGUCAAGACAAUGAAGUCGCUUGUGCAGCGAGCAGCAUCACUAAUUCUACUCGAAAUUGUCAUCGAUGAAAAUGUGGUUGUCUCCGUGUCAGCCGGAGCAGCAUCCAGAUUUCUUGAUGGCGGAAACAUCAUCUCUGUCUCUGCUGAUGUUGAUUGUCUGGCCCUUGGGCAGAGCAGCAGGGUCAUCGGCUGUGUCGAGAGCCUUCUUGCUGACGACGUGGUAUAUCUGUGUGAGUGCUUGGGUGAAGGCUUGGUCAACAUUCAAGGCUUCCUGAGCGGAUGUUUCCAUGAAAAACAAGCCCUCCUUCUCUGCAAAAUCGCUGGCUUCCUGAGUGGGAACGGCCACCAGGUGUCGGAGAUCUGCCUUGUUCCCCACCAGCAUGAUCACGAUGUUGCUGUCCGUGUGCUCUCGGAGCUCCUUCAACCAUCUUCUCACACUCUCGUACGUCGAUUGCCGUGUCACGUCGUACACCAGCAACGCCCCCACCGCGCCUCGAUAGUAAGCACUCGUGAUGGCACGGUACCUUCAACAUUUGUUAUUCAUGAUAUGUAUCUUGCUUAUGAAGUGAAAAAAUUGAUUUUGUGAUGAAUGCAAAUAACGCAGCAUACCUUUCUUGGCCAGCGGUGUCCCAAAUCUGGGCCUUGACAACCUUGGCAUCAACUCGGAUGGAACGGGUGGCGAACUCAACGCCGAUGGUAGAUUUGGAAUCCUUGCUGAACUCAUCGCGGGUGAAGCGAGACAGGAGGUUAGAUUUUCCGACGCCGGAAUCCCCGAUGAGCACCAGCUUGAACAGAGUUUUCCAAGAUGUUUUCUCUUCUUUUCUUGGAGGAAUCAAUUUCAGAUUGCCUUGUUUAUUUCCUUAGACCUCCGCGGAUGUAGGGAGGCUCUUUUUUAAUGGUUUCUAGUAUUACAAAUAUAAAUUAGAGUAAUGCUAUUCAUACAUAUUAUGUAACCUAUAUACACAUAAUAGGAUAUUCUAAUUAAUUGAAAUAGUAUUUUACAUGUAUUACAUUAAUCGAUUUUUGAAUUAGAUUAGUCAAA
Salvia miltiorrhiza (redroot sage) is the source of this 2282-nucleotide RNA transcript. RefSeq lists it as uncharacterized. NCBI's taxonomy places the organism in Eukaryota, Viridiplantae, Streptophyta, Magnoliopsida, Lamiales, Lamiaceae. The transcript is spliced from 3 exons. The record is from RefSeq and is a predicted model, not a curated record.